Molecule: ribosomal RNA, 253 nt
Filed under: uncultured bacterium
Lineage: Bacteria
Description: partial 16S ribosomal RNA
Rfam family: Bacterial small subunit ribosomal RNA
Source: RNAcentral
UACGUAGGUGGCAAGCGUUGUCCGGAUUUAUUGGGUUUAAAGGGUGCGUAGGCGGCUUUGUAAGUCAGUGGUGAAAUAUGGCAGCUCAACUGUCAAGGUGCCAUUGAUACUGCAGAGCUUGAGUACAGAUGAGGUAGGCGGGAUUGACGGUGUAGCGGUGAAAUGCUUAGAUAUCGUCAAGAACACCUAUAGCGAAGGCAGCUUACUAGGCUGUAACUGACGCUGAGGCACGAAAGUGUGGGGAUCAAACAGG